AUAUUGUAUUGGAUUCCACUUGUCAUUAUUUUUCAUUUUGGGUUUAUGCAUAGCGGGUGAAACGGCGCCAUCUCUUGGUGGUUAGCCGCGAUAAGGGUAGUGGACACAGGAACCUCGUUGCCAGUGUAUGGGAGAAGAGCACGAGGUGCUGUACCCGAUGAUGAGCCCAUGAUUCUGACCAGUACAUGUUCCGUUUCAUGCAGGCAGAUAAAGUCAGCAUUCAUCUCAUCCUGUCUCCUGAUUGUCAUUGAACACAA
Archocentrus centrarchus (flier cichlid) is the source of this 257-nucleotide long non-coding RNA. RefSeq lists it as uncharacterized. The record is from RefSeq and is a predicted model, not a curated record. Lineage: Eukaryota; Metazoa; Chordata; Actinopteri; Cichliformes; Cichlidae. The transcript has 3 exons.